UGAAGACCAAAAAUCAUAGAAUGAAUUGGAAUGAUGAGACCUUCUUCAAAAAAUUCCAAGACAUCUUCUCCAGCUUGCCUAUAUAAAUCUCUCCGGUUCCUUUCUUCUAUAUUCAUCGAGACUAAAACCAGUAAUAGUGAAAGAACCAUCUUCAAUCCCAGUUUGUGUAUCCAUUUUGGUAGCAGCAGCACCAGCUAUUACUACUCGCCCUUCAUGAGAGAGGCUAUAAUUUCGUAUAAAUGAUCUUAAACUUACAAUUAAUAUUAGAUAUAAAAUUUUAUACCUUCACGAGAUAAAUGAUGUAUCACCACUGUAAAA
Molecule: long non-coding RNA, 318 nt
Filed under: Polistes fuscatus (common paper wasp)
Lineage: Eukaryota; Metazoa; Arthropoda; Insecta; Hymenoptera; Vespidae
Description: uncharacterized LOC122518446
Source: RNAcentral